Molecule: ribosomal RNA, 254 nt
Filed under: uncultured bacterium
Lineage: Bacteria
Description: partial 16S ribosomal RNA
Rfam family: Bacterial small subunit ribosomal RNA
Source: RNAcentral
UACGUAGGAUCCAAGCGUUAUCCGGAAUUACUGGGCGUAAAGCGUGCGCAGACGGUUUGGUAGGUCUUAUGCGAAAUCCGGUGGCUCAACCACCUGGACUGUAUGAGAAACCCCCUGACUCGAGGUCGGUAGAGGCAAGUGGAAUUUCUGGUGUAGGGGUGACAUCCGUAGAUAUCAGAAGGAACACCAAUGGCGAAGGCAGCUUGCUGGGCCGUACCUGACGUUCAGGCACGAAAGCGUGGGGAGCGAACAGG